RNAcentral lists this ribosomal RNA (134 nucleotides) under Jaculus jaculus (lesser Egyptian jerboa). The record is from RNAcentral. Lineage: Eukaryota; Metazoa; Chordata; Mammalia; Rodentia; Dipodidae.
GUCUAUGGCCAUACUUCCCUGAACACUCCCAAUCCUGUAUGAUCUCAGAAGCUAAGCAGGGUCAGGCCUGGUUAGUACUUGGAUGGGAGACGACUGUAUCUUUUAAAGUUAUGAACUGAGGCUACCAGUACACU